GCCGAUGUAGCUCAGUGGUAGAGCAUUCGAUUCGUAAUCGGACGGUCGGCGGUUCAAAUCCGCUCAUCGGCU
RNAcentral lists this transfer RNA (72 nucleotides) under Moorena bouillonii PNG. Its description in RNAcentral is "Moorea bouillonii PNG tRNA-Thr". It matches the Rfam family "tRNA". From Rfam's summary of the family: Transfer RNA (tRNA) molecules are approximately 80 nucleotides in length. RNAcentral also lists the same sequence under 11 other names. The record is from RNAcentral. Lineage: Bacteria; Bacillati; Cyanobacteriota; Cyanophyceae; Coleofasciculales; Coleofasciculaceae.